AUGCCCCUUUCCUCAGCCAGAAAUAAAUUUCUGAUGUAACAUAGAUUAAGGUCUUGUAAUCUCAGCUGCAGGGGAUCAAAAAAGACACCAGGGGGCAAGACCUGGGACAGCUGGAAAGCACCAACGCAGAGAAUCUCUUGGGUGAGAAAAGGUGCCGAGGAAACCAAAACUGGGCUCUAAUCCUCACCUGGGAAGUGCCUGCCAUCUCAGGACUUCACAACAAGGCUUUGCAGUCUAAGGAAGGGCUCAAGCAGUUGGGAAAAUGUUUCCCCUCUUGCAUUCAGAUCUCAACAGAGAGCAGAAGGCACAGAUCCAAACUAUGGUGAGAGAGAUCACAGAAGGAGAUGCUCCACAGCUAGACUUAGGAAAGAAGGUGAGCAUCCCUCAGGAUCUGAUGGUGGAGGAGCUAUCCCUGCCCAUAAACAGGGGUUCCAGGCUGUACCAGAAGAGGCAGAAGAGAGUGCAGCGCUUUGUAUUGGAGCAUCCUACAGACUACAGAAUUAUCUCAAAUGCAUCUGGAGCUGGAGAAGGCUCAUAUGCCAAUUACAAUGCAACUGGAGCAACAAAAGGACAGAUGUCUGUCCCUAAUGCUGAGGGGAAGGAAAAUGAUCAGGCUGGGCUUUAUGUGGCCGGCUCAGGAAAGGGGACACCCCCCAAAGUAGCCAAGAAAACAAGCAAAGUCCUGCAGAUGAGCAAAGCCCUGAAUCCUGAUGCCAUCGCUCCAGGCUAUUCUGGACCUCUAAAAGAAGUACCACCAGAGAAGUUCAACAGAACAGCCAUCCCCAAAGGCUACCGGUCCCCCUGGCAGGAGUUCCUUACCGGUGAGGACUACCAGGUAAAGCGAGAGAACCAUUUGCCUGAACCUCCCAGGAAAGUGAAUAGCUUUGACCUCAGGAGCUUCAACAGAUAUAUGGCUCACCUUUCAAUCCAGAUUGGAUCAAGGUGGUAACAUUUUAAAAGCAGAAGUUACAAUCUAUAACUAAUUCAUCUGUUAGUAUGCCCAUUAGCCACUGGUGCAGGAACACAUGAUCCAGGAGGUACACAAAGUAAUCACAAUGACACAGGUUCAAGUUUGCCAGCCAGCCACCUUCUGUCACUGGCUGCCACAACUGGAGGAUUCAAACCCCAGAUAUUUCUAGCUAAGCUGGUCUUGUUAGUAACGUGUGUGUGAUUGCUUGCAUAGUGCAUUGCAUUUGCUGUGCAAGAGGUGGAACCCCCACGGGACCAGGAAUAGAGCUUGGAAAGUUUCUGGGUAGGACUAUAUUCAGGAGUCACAGAAAACCUGAGAGUUAUUUUUAAAAUUACACUUUAUAUUUCAACAAAGUCUAAAUAAGAAGAAUUUGACUAUUUGCCCAAUCAGUUGCUCACAUUUUCUUUGACUGAUCAUAUGUCAAGAUGCAAUGGCACAAAUUCUCUUUAUUUAAGGGGAAAAUAUAAUUUCAAAGCCCAAGCAAGAAUUUCUAAGAUCAAAAGAUUCACAAGUGCUUCAGAUGGGCUGCACUGAACAUGUCGUCAUCGUUGCUAAAACUGGGACACAGACAGAUCCCAGAGUUGACUAAAGAGCCACAAUCUUUACCUUUCCAUAGUUUCAGUGGAUGCAGUGGUCAUACAUGCCACCCUGGACUCCUAAUAACAACAACAACAACGCUAAGCCUAGGGAGGGUCAUAAGACCCAGCCUGAGCAUUACUGAAACAGUCUUAGCUUCCAAAGCACAGCUACUUGCAGUUACAUCUUUCUUCCUCAGCUGAUAAACACGGCCACUGCUGUAGCUGGUGCCUGAGCAGUAACUGUGUUGAGCUGGGUGCACCAGCUUUUCACCCAACUCCUUCCAUCAGCUAACUGGCCCAGCUAGCAUUCCAGUGUCAUGCUCACCCUAGCAUCUUUAUCCCUGCUUUCUCCUUUCUGGAAAACAGCCCUGAGCAGAGAAAUUGAAAAAAGCAGCUUGCAUUACAUCAUAUCCUACUCUUACGUUGGAGGUGAGCCACAUCCUGCAUCUCAGAGGCUGGGUGAGCCAGAUAACAAGACAGCCAGCAGGAAACAAGGCUUACUUUCUCAAACAAUUGCUCUGCAUGGAGAAAUUCAUGCUAGCAAUACUGCUUCUGUGCAAGGAGAUUCAAAUCAGCACAGUACAGUGGAGCUGGGGAAAGACCCUGGCUUCUGCAUGAUACAAGGUGUGUCAGUUUCUGAUGACUGUUAGUCCAAACAGCAGUCCAGGAGCAAAUUGCAAGGUGGGGCGGGGGAGGGCAAUGUAAGUGGGCAACUUCUCCAAUAGUGGUUGCUGUAGAAAAAUCCUUAGAGUACUUAGUCUGCUGUCCUCAACAUAUUUUUAUCCUCAGUUUGACGCUACAGCGCUAAAUCAAUUGGGGGAAGAUGCUAUCUAGCCUCAAUCAUGCAUGACGUGCCUUCUCCAAUUUAAGUAAAUGUAACCAGAUUCUCUUCUGUGAGUUAAGAGAUAGGCAAAAAUGGCUCCAAUACAAACACUCUUCUUUUUCAGACCAUCCUAUUCUUUAAAAUACUUGUAUUUCCUUUUACUUACCUUUUGAGCAUGAGGAUUUUCUGGCUCCUGCCAACCUCCACUGGCUGCAACAUAAUAACACAAAUUUUAAAAGGCCAGGGGUGGGGAAAAAUCAUAGUUCACGCACUGGUCCAAAAUAAAUAUACAAAAUUGCUGCCUGCUUCUCUUCCCUUCUCAUCCCAGAUCACAGUUCAUUGUAUCUGGUAUUUUUAGUAUCAAGAGUGUCAGAUACCGCAAACAUUACCCUCUCCAGCAUGCCCUGAGGCAGACAACAGAACUGCACAAUAUACCAGCAAAGAUGUGUUUUCUAUACUCGUGUCUACAGGUCAACAUGAAUGCAGGUCAUGAAUUCUAGGGAAGAAUUGGUAGAAGAUUAUUGCCAGGCAAGGGAAAUGGCUUAUCCCAUCUUGCACCUGCCAGUUUUCUCCUACAAAUGUCCCCUCUCCCUGAUAACUAUUCCCCCUACCCAGACUACUUUGGGGUUUUAGAGCCCAGCUAGGGGAAAACACAGUAGAAACAUAGCUGGGAGUGCAGAAUUAACUGCAUGCCUUCCCAUCAAAACUGCCCCUAUGAACUGCUGCUCGUGCACAGUUAUCUCAUGCUUCUGGGACAUAUCCCAGCAACAGAGGAAAGCAUAAAGGUGCUAGCCCUGGAAUCUCUGGAGGAGCAGAUAUUCAACGGUAUUGACUGAAGGGAAGCAAACAAUGCUCGCUCCCCUUCAACCAGCACAAAGAACCACCAGGCGUAGAAGCUCUAGAGAGGCUGCCUCCACACCCCAAGAGCUUCUGAGACAAGUUGCUAGCCUUCUCAGGAUCCUCUUUCUUGCCAGCUCCCUGGAGUCACCAGGGGAUAAAACUACUUUCAACGCACAGAAGGGCUGUCCCUUUAUCACUAAAAAAAUAUUGAGGGAAGGGAGGUACAAGACCUCUGCAGUUUGGAGCCGAUAAAGUCUACAAUGCAAGGUUUUUAUUAUGUUUUGUAAUUUUGUUUUAUGAUUGAUUUUCUCUUAUAUAUUUUUAUAAACUGGGUUAUAUCCAACAAAGUCAUCCUGUUAGCACAACCUGUGCAAUGCGACUUCCUCUCUCCCUGUAUGCCCACAAAUACGCUCCAGAGGGUUGAAGGCAUCUUCAGAACUAAUAUGGGGGUGUGUGUGAACAUGGUCAGAGGAAUUCCUGCAGCACAGGCAGAUGUCCUUGCUCUAUCAGGAUGGCUUAAUCGGAUACAAACUACUCUUCUUCACCGCUUAGAUGUUUUAUAUCAGGGGUGGGGAACCUCUGGCCCAUGGGCCAAACUUAGCCCACCAGACUGUUUUGGGCAAGCCGCACCCACCCAUCAUACAUCUGAUGUUAUAUGUGGCGUCAGUUGUGAGGCAGGUGUGGGUGGGGCUUCAGGAGCUUAAAGUGAGCUCAUAAUUGCUCCUUUCAUAGAGGAACACGUGCCCCCACAGCCCAUCAGUUGAUGGCCAGGAGGAGUGUGCCAUGUUCCCGAAAAGGAAGUGGAUUCCAUAGAAUGGAAACUGUCCUCCCUGUGAAAACCAGAGGUUCAAAGCGCAGCACAGGCUGUCUGAAAGCCCUUUUGCAAACAGCCCCACACUGCUCUUUGAACCUCCAGUUUUCAGAGGUUUAAAGAACAAUGAAGGGGCAUUUGGAAAAGGGCUUUUAGACAGCCCACACUAUGCUUUAAAGUUUUGACAACCAGGGCUUCAAAGCACAGCAUCACCUGAUGUCAUAGUGACAUCACGUGAUUCUCCAUCCACACGACCAAUUUGGCCCAGAAGAGAUGGGAAGAUAAGGAUCUGGCCCACCAGCCAGAAUUAUUAUUAUUUAUUUGAUUGAUAUCCCGCCCGUUCUGCCAGUAGGAGUCCAGGGCGGCAAACAAAAACUUCCACAUUUGUUUUAUAUUAUGCAAUUUAUAAACAAACAGUACUCCAAAGACACAGGCACUCAUCCUCAGAGUUCAAUUGUGAUGACUUUGGUAACGCAGAAUCAACCACCACCCACCACUGAAAGUUAACUUCCAUUCACUUUUCCCCAUUAGCGUCCAAAUUUUUAGUAUCUAAUUAGCAUGACAAAAAUAGCACUCCACAUUCUAAUAAAGGCCACGUUCACAACAUGCUUAUGCAAGAGUUUUCAAACAACUCUGACAAUGUUCAUCUAAAGCCAUCACCACUCACCAACAGAUUUAUCUGCCAUGCCAACAUCUCUGGAAGUCCAGCGGCAAAAGCCACAAGCCAGGUAAUAAGCUUUCUUCAUCGUGGUCUUGGCUGGAUCAUCAGGCAGUGGAGCAGGGAUGCUGGUUGCUCGGGUAGAAAGAGUGUGCAUACAGCAAGGACAGUCAAAACAGUUAGCACACCUGAAUGAAAAGAGACCAGGAUGAAAUUCUGCAUAAAGAUUGUAUGUCAGGGCUUUAACCUGCAGUUCCAGCCUCCUGAUUUACUGUUUUGUAAUUCAGAAACUGCCUCUGACAACUGUUUUUAAAAAACAAAUUAUAUCUAAUUGUUUCACUAGGAAGAAAGGAAUGGACUUCACAGAAUCAGCCAACAAAAAACAAAAUAAGUUAUUCCACAACCCCCAUCCCUUGUGAAAGGGCAGAAAAGAUGCUGUAAGCAAUUUUUUAGAUCUGGUCACGGUAAACACGCAUGAUUCCAUUAGUGCUUUGAAGCACUUUACAUACGUUCUAUAAAGAUUCAAGGAAAAACAUAAAAGAUGGGAAAGUAUUGUAGAUGUAAAUUCGUUUUAAAAGCCUUCUUACAGCAUGUGAGAACAUCAGCAACAGGGUUAAAAUAAAGCAUUCUACAGUGUGCUUCUUAUGAGAUCUCACCAAAUACAUUGGGAAUGUGAGAAAUGAACAGUCUUGCACUCAAGUGUAAGUUACUGCAACAUUAUUUGUUCUCUACAGUCAGAAGUUGGUAAUAUAGAAUAUAAACAGAAUGCCAGAGGCACCUUCCUGAACUCAAUGACAUUACAUUGUAAAUAAAACCUGUACCACAAGGAUUUUUUUUUUUAAAGUCAGAUUCUUGUAAAGAUGCUGGGAUCAAAACAUGUAAAAUAUGUAUACAAUGAUGCACUGAUCAAAAAGAGACUGUCCUAAAGCAUGAACAAUGGUCUGAUGGGAGUGAAAAUGUAGCCUUACCUGUUCUUCUUCAGCUUGGCUUCAGCUGAUGGCAUGUUUUCCAAGCAACUGGGACAAUAGUGAGAAUCAACCUAAAAAAAAAAUUUACAAAAAGACCCUUUUCAUUCUUCACCAUUACCCUUCUCCAAAUCCUUCCCCAAAACCUUCUACUUAAACGAAGGAAAAAAUGGUCAUUAUGCUCUCAAAACUGCACAAACGUUCAUGUUAUGAACCAGCAAGUCCCCAGCUUGAUUCUUACCUUUGUCACGACUUCACUCGAUGGCCUUACACAAGCCAUUCCCCCACAGCCUUCCAACCCCUCAUCAGUAAUACAAGGACACUAAUACUAAUUUAAUGUACAAAGUUGUUAUAAGAGAUACAACAGCGGUGAAGAACCUUUGGCUCUCUAGAUGUUUCUGAACUACAACUUUAAGCCACAUCUCAAGUAUUUUAUUCAAACAAAAGUCAUUCUCAGGAUAGAAUCUUAUAGCCUGCAACAUCCGCAGACCUACAAUAAUGGGACAGUAAUGUGCCCAGUUAUUCCAAUUGAAAGCAUUUAUCAUCAUUUAGCAAGGAAUGAAACUUCUAAUGAACAAGUAGAUGAAAAUAAAGGUUUUAUUUAAGAUGUGCAAAAGGGAAAAACUUGGCUCAGCAUGGAAUUUACUGGUUAUCUAUACAGGGAAUACAACAUAUCUCCAUCUACAAACUAAUUUAAUAGUCAUUAGGUCUCCCUAAGCUACUGAGAACUGUGGUUCAGUAAAGGGAUCUUUGCCAAAGAAAAGAACACAGUACAAUUCCCAGAGUUCUUUCAUGAAAGUUACAACUGGUAUAAAAAACCAAUGUGAGUUGAUCAUGUAACCCUAAAGGGUCCAAUUUGGCCUUUGAGGCCAUUUACUCCAAACCACACCCACCAGCUGAUGGGCAGGAAGACAGGGUUUAAUCCUGCUUUGGUUGCACCAUACUGUUCCCAAUGGUGAAUAGCACAUUAAUUUCAAUGCCAUAAAUAAAUGUGUCCUGUAUUCUUGGUUUGAUGAUAACACAAAUCUGGUUUUUGAUGUUUCUGGCCAUACAAUCAAGAGUUUAAUGCUUAUCAACAAUGCCAAAAUUAGGUACAGGAGCAGGCUCUAAUCUUUAAACAUCUGUUACUUUACUUAUUUUGCUGUUUAGCAGAGUGAAAAAGGUCUCUAAGCCCAUUCAGUAAUCCUGGGGCCAAGGUAAAAGUUACCCUCAAUUCUUUGCAGCUUAAAGGGGCACAAAAAGAUUUAACAGUGAAAAGAAUUUUACUGAGAGAUAAAUAGUCAUUCUGUGUAACAAGGAAACUCAUACAGUAAAGCUCCUUAUAUCCAAAUAAAUUGGGGAAAAUAACAUUGUCUCAAACAUCCUGCACCAGAAGAAAAGACUGACAAGGAGCCAGUUUCUCUCAGUUUUUAAGAGUGCUGUAUCUCAGUUAUAAUCACUUCUGUGACUUGGACAGAACACAAUUUUAUUGGUGGAGGGGCCAAGGAAACAAUACUCAAGCAUUACACAAGGUACUAGAAGAACAAAUGAGAUGAAUAAAAAUAAAUAAAAAUAAUAAAUAAAUAAAUGAAAACUGAAAGUGAUUACCCUUUGACAUGCUGCAUAAAUAGUAAACAAAAAGUUUAGAAUAAAGAUGUGGCUAAG
RNA transcript from Rhineura floridana, 7289 nucleotides. It is a transcript of the gene named myozenin 3, with no coding region annotated. Lineage: Eukaryota; Metazoa; Chordata; Lepidosauria; Squamata; Rhineuridae. The record is from RefSeq and is a predicted model, not a curated record. The transcript has 9 exons.